UACAGAGGGGGCAAGCGUUGUUCGGAUUUACUGGGCGUACAGGGAGCGUAGGCGGUUGGAUAAGCCCUCCGUGAAAUCUCCAGGCUUAACCUGGAAAGUGCAGAGGGGACUGUUCAGCUAGAGGAUGGGAGAGGAGCGCGGAAUUCCCGGUGUAGCGGUGAAAUGCGUAGAGAUCGGGAGGAAGGCCGGUGGCGAAGGCGGCGCUCUGGAACAUUUCUGACGCUGAGGCUCGAAAGCGUGGGGAGCAAACAGG
Molecule: ribosomal RNA, 253 nt
Filed under: uncultured bacterium
Lineage: Bacteria
Description: partial 16S ribosomal RNA
Rfam family: Bacterial small subunit ribosomal RNA
Source: RNAcentral